CCGGCCUCAAUUGCCUCACCUCCAAAAUGGAGGUCUUAAUGACAAUGGUCUGGCUUCACUCACAGGGUUAUCGUGAAAAUCAAAAGAGAUUGCUCAGGGAAAAGCCUCUUCAAACUGGAGCUCCAGGUGAUGGUUGUCAUCUGUCGAUGUUGCUCUCUGGUGAGGAAUCCGAGCCUCAGAGAGGGAGUGGGCUUUGUCCGGCAUCACGACAGCUGAAGCCCACAGGCUAGGAUUUGAACCCAGAUCCUGAAGACGCCAGGGCCUUUGCCCCUGUCCACUAGCUGUUGUGGCCUGCUUCACAACCAUGUCUCCUGGCCCCCGCUCCAGG
Molecule: long non-coding RNA, 328 nt
Filed under: Homo sapiens (human)
Lineage: Eukaryota; Metazoa; Chordata; Mammalia; Primates; Hominidae
Description: non-protein coding lnc-CPEB4-1:1
Source: RNAcentral